AGACUCUUCACUCUUCUCACCUGAAAAGUUCAGAGAGUAAAGAAAAAAUUUAGUAAGAGAGAGGGUUCAUAACGGCGACGAGAGUAAACAUAUAUGAACAAAUCAGAGUCUCGACUCAGCACGAACCCUUACCUUGUCUUUUGUCCGCUUCACUUCAAGUUCCGUUUCACCGAGUGAGUUUGAUUGAAUCUGCUUAAAGUUUGAUUUUUUUUAUUUUCUUUUCAAUGUUACUUCUCCUCUAGGGUGGAGAAGUUGCUUUCUUCAUAGAAUCGGGGAUGAUGCACUAUAUGACGCAGCAACAACUACGAUGGAAUAUGUGGAGUUAUUGACAACCAAGCUUGCUUUGUGUAAAGUUAUCAUAUAACUGUGGACAACACUUUAUCCCCUGCCCGUGUGGAUAUCAUCAUCGCAAAACCAGUUGGAGAUGUUACAUGUCCUCCAAAAGCAUGACAAAAUUGGAGUGUACAAUUGAAAAGACUAUCUCUUUUUUCAGUUCCAGAAUUUAUAUACAUCACGUUUCAGCUCAUUUGGUUCCUACUCUAGCUUUCCAGGUCUCCGUGGGUGGUGGUUUACUCGCUGCUCGGUUAUAUUUGAAUUAUCUUGUUACAGGAGGUUUUCUUCAACAUUGGCGAAUCUAUAGAGACUGGAGAUACUGACUGAUUCAGGAUGCUAACGCAAAGGCGAUAGCAAAUAUCAGACUUCUAAAUUUGAAUUCGUUUAUGGGAAAUCUGCUUAUUACCAGUUGGUGAUAGUCCCGACCCAAUACGGCUUCCUUGUCUACAGACAUGGCCAGGUUGUUUCUGUAAUAGAUUGGAGCUCAAAGUCCAAUAAAAAUCGUCACUGCUUCACAUGACAGGCACAAACUUGCAAGUUCAGGUUCGUGUGGAGUCUUGGAAGGACGUGAAUGGGUACCAGCUUUCGUGUUAGCUAAAUCAUGUUGCCCUUUGUGUCCUAAGUAGUCCAAAAGCAUGGCCAAGUUGUUUUUGUAAAAGAUUGGAGCUCAAAGGCCAACAAAAUCGUCACUGCUUCCCAUGACAAGAACUUGUAUGUGUGGAGCCUGGAACGGAGGUGAAUAAGUAGCAACUCCUGUGUUAGCUAAAUUGGGCUGCCUUUUGUUUCCUAUGGUCUAUGGAGGUCAAAAGUGACAUUGUUCGAAUCCGUGCAGCAUGGCCAUGGUUUGUAAUAGAUUGGAGCUAAAAGUCCAACAAAAUCCUCACUGUUUCCUAUGAAAGGAACUUGUACGUGUGGAGCCUGGAGAGGAGGUAUAUGGCAUGGCCAAGUUAAUUUUGGAAUAGAUUGGAGCUCAAAGUCCAAUAACACUACUUCCCAUAACAGGAACUUGUUUGGAAUGUUUCUUGAAGGUAAGUGUGGAGCCUGUAAAGGAGGUGAAUGGGUACCAGCUUUCGUGUUAGCUAAAUCAUUCUGCCCUUUGUGUCUUAUGGUGUCCAAAAGUACGUCUUCCUUGUCUGGUUCAGCUGCCAAUUAACAAAGCUUCAUCUUCUGUGGCCAAUGUUGAUGAGUAGAAGUGGAAGUUAGAGAUUCUGUUGGCCAAUGAUAGCGAAAAAGAUAUUGUUUCCAGAGACAAAAGGGAUUGAAGGGUAAUGCGAAGAUUUCAAAUAUUGUCAAGAGAAUGGGACUGUACAGUGAGAUGUACGGAAAAGUGAUUGUCACAAGCAAGGUUCCUCUUCCCAAUUACCGGCCAGAUUUGGAUGAUAAGCUACCACAACAGGAGGUGGUACUUCCUUUGAGUUUGGAAAGAAGGGUAGAGAGACUCCUGCAGGAACACCUUGAUAGACGGCAGCUAAGCUCAAGAAAGGUUAAUGAAGGUUCUUAACCUCCUAAACAGAUUGAAGAACUUCCAAAAUGAAAGCAUACGGAUGGUUCUGUUAUGAAGAAAUGUACAUCAGAGGAGAAGUAUGCAGAGAGCCUGGCAAGUAUUACUGAAUCACAUUUACCUCGAGCCUCUUAUCUUUUCAUCAAAGGUUUUUUUUUAUUAAGCAAUAGUUGUUUGGUUGAAUAAUUGGAAUCUCCUGAGCGAAGGACGAUGCUGGAAUUCCGGAAAUCUUUGCCUUCAUUUGUGGACAAAGAAAGACUUCUUCAAGCUAUUGCUCGGAACCAGGUGGAAUUUUACUGCGAUUGGAAAUUCAUCUUAUUGUCUUUGACUUUUAAAAUUCUCAGGCAAUAGUUGUAUCUGGGGGGCCUGAAUGUGUUAAGACAACUCAACUUCCGCAAUACAUUUUGGAAUCAGAGAUAGAGUCUGGUCGAUGAGCAUUUCAGAAGACAACCUAGGAGAAUGUCUGCCAUGGAAAUUUCAGAAAGAGUGUCAGCUGAGAAGAAACUCUUGGUGAAACGGUUAGCCGAGAUGCUUAAGCUUUAUUUGAUGAAACUGGAAUUAACCGAAGAUUUCGUAAUUAUAGUGUUAAAGAGCUUCUUUCCACGGCGUCCAGAUCUGAGAUUGAUUCUCAUGAGUGUCACUUUAAAAGCUGAACUCUUUUCUAAUGAGUUUCACAGAGAUCCUUAUCUGGUGAAGAGGGUUAGCGCAGCUACUGCAGUCGAUGUCAGAGCAACUGAAAUUCCAUACACAUUUGCUCCUUGCAUUGCAGUAAAGAUUCUGUAUUCUGGAUCUUAUAAGUUCUCACCAUCUGCCAAAGUGUUAUAAAUCUGGUUUUUGUUAUUUCGGAUUGGCAAGGAGUUCAUAAGAUUUCCUCACAAUCGCAUACAAACUACACAGCUUCCCUUCGAGCUGCAAUUCAAGCUGGAAUUAUUAUGGUCAUGGUCCCGUUCAACUUUACCAAGUUUUUCAAAUGAUCUUCUGUUCCUGGUGAAAAGCAAGCAAUUUCUUUCACCCGAAUUGAUGAUGCCGUCAGAAGAAUUCUGCUUGUCAAAUUCACAUUGGGUCUUGUUGAGAACCAUUUGGCUGAUUACAGUUUUUCCAAUGAACUAGGCUUAAGCUACAAAAAUAAUUCUUUUGUAGUAGAUAAUUCUUGAGGCUAGCUAGCAGUGAAUGUUGGUCCCGUCUUCCGUCCUAAUCAAAUACACAUGUCUACAACAUCGCAUUCUAAAUGAUGUACAUGAUAAGUUUGUGAGGACCGUUUGUUAGGA
This is a long non-coding RNA of Capsella rubella, 3102 nucleotides long. RefSeq lists it as uncharacterized. Lineage: Eukaryota; Viridiplantae; Streptophyta; Magnoliopsida; Brassicales; Brassicaceae. The transcript has 22 exons. The record is from RefSeq and is a predicted model, not a curated record.